ACAGAAUCGCAGAGAUGUGGAGGUGCCCGAAAGGGAACCUGAACACAGGUGCUGCAUGGCUGUCGUUAUUUCGUGUCGUGAGAUGUUGGGUUAAGUCCCGCAACGAGCGCAACCCUUGCCAUUAGUUGCUACAUUCAGUUGGGCACUCUAAUGGGACUGCCGGUGACAAACCGGAGGAAGGUGGGGAUGACGUCAAGUCCUCAUGGCCCUUAUGGGUAGGGCUUCACACGUAAUACAAUGGCGCAUACAGAGGGCUGCAAACCCGCGAGGGGGAGCCAAUCCCAAAAAGUGCGUCGUAGUCCGGAUUGUUCUCUGCAACUCGAGAGCAUGAAGUCGGAA
RNAcentral lists this ribosomal RNA (339 nucleotides) under uncultured bacterium. Its description in RNAcentral is "bacterial SSU rRNA". It matches the Rfam family "Bacterial small subunit ribosomal RNA", at positions 991 to 1331 of the family's 1533-position model. The record is from RNAcentral.